Molecule: small nuclear RNA, 196 nt
Organism: Sciurus carolinensis (gray squirrel)
Lineage: Eukaryota; Metazoa; Chordata; Mammalia; Rodentia; Sciuridae
Product: U2 spliceosomal RNA
Exons: 1
Source: RefSeq, a predicted model, not a curated record
ACUGCUUUUCAGUCUUUUGGCCAAAAUCAAGUGCAGUAUCUGUUAUCAGCUUAAUAACUGAUGCAUUCUCUACCUGAAACAUUUAUUUUUAUUUGUGAUUGGAUUUGGGAAUGAAUUGGGGAUAUUUUGUCAAAAUUCAUUUGCAUCCAUAUUUGAGCUUUGAGGCCAGGUCUGCUCCUGUCAUUGAGGACUGGCU